UACGGGGGGGGCAAGCGUUGUUCGGAAUUACUGGGCGUAAAGGGCUCGUAGGCGGCCAACUGAGUCAAACGUGAAAUCCCUCGGCUUAACCGGGGAACUGCGCUUGAUACUGGAUGGCUUGAGAUUGGGAGAGGGAUGCGGAAUUCCAGGUGUAGCGGUGAAAUGCGUAGAUAUCUGGAGGAACACCGGUGGCGAAGGCGGCAUCCUGGACCAACACUGACGCUGAGGAGCGAAAGCCAGGGGAGCAAACGGG
This 253-nucleotide ribosomal RNA is filed under the name uncultured bacterium. RNAcentral's name for it is "partial 16S ribosomal RNA". It matches the Rfam family "Bacterial small subunit ribosomal RNA", at positions 524 to 776 of the family's 1533-position model. The record is from RNAcentral.